GGGUUGUGAGGUUAAGCGACUAAGCGUACACGGUGGAUGCCCUGGCAGUCAGAGGCGAUGAAGGACGUGCUAAUCUGCGAUAAGCGUCGGUAAGGUGAUAUGAACCGUUAUAACCGGCGAUUUCCGAAUGGGGAAACCCAGUGUGAUUCGUCACACUAUCAUUAACUGAAUCCAUAGGUUAAUGAGGCGAACCGGGGGAACUGAAACAUCUAAGUACCCCGAGGAAAAGAAAUCAACCGAGAUUCCCCCAGUAGCGGCGAGCGAACGGGGAGCAGCCCAGAGCCUGAAUCAGUGUGUGUGUUAGUGGAAGCGUCUGGAAAGGCGCGCGAUACAGGGUGACAGCCCCGUACACAAAAAUGCACAUACUGUGAGCUCGAUGAGUAGGGCGGGACACGUGGUAUCCUGUCUGAAUAUGGGGGGACCAUCCUCCAAGGCUAAAUACUCCUGACUGACCGAUAGUGAACCAGUACCGUGAGGGAAAGGCGAAAAGAACCCCGGCGAGGGGAGUGAAAAAGAACCUGAAACCGUGUACGUACAAGCAGUGGGAGCACAGAGCAAUCUGUGUGACUGCGUACCUUUUGUAUAAUGGGUCAGCGACUUAUAUUCUGUAGCAAGGUUAACCGAAUAGGGGAGCCGAAGGGAAACCGAGUCUUAACUGGGCGUUAAGUUGCAGGGUAUAGACCCGAAACCCGGUGAUCUAGCCAUGGGCAGGUUGAAGGUUGGGUAACACUAACUGGAGGACCGAACCGACUAAUGUUGAAAAAUUAGCGGAUGACUUGUGGCUGGGGGUGAAAGGCCAAUCAAACCGGGAGAUAGCUGGUUCUCCCCGAAAGCUAUUUAGGUAGCGCCUCGUGAAUUCAUCUCCGGGGGUAGAGCACUGUUUCGGCAAGGGGGUCAUCCCGACUUACCAACCCGAUGCAAACUGCGAAUACCGGAGAAUGUUAUCACGGGAGACACACGGCGGGUGCUAACGUCCGUCGUGAAGAGGGAAACAACCCAGACCGCCAGCUAAGGUCCCAAAGUCAUGGUUAAGUGGGAAACGAUGUGGGAAGGCCCAGACAGCCAGGAUGUUGGCUUAGAAGCAGCCAUCAUUUAAAGAAAGCGUAAUAGCUCACUGGUCGAGUCGGCCUGCGCGGAAGAUGUAACGGGGCUAAACCAUGCACCGAAGCUGCGGCAGCGACGCUUAUGCGUUGUUGGGUAGGGGAGCGUUCUGUAAGCCUGCGAAGGUGUGCUGUGAGGCAUGCUGGAGGUAUCAGAAGUGCGAAUGCUGACAUAAGUAACGAUAAAGCGGGUGAAAAGCCCGCUCGCCGGAAGACCAAGGGUUCCUGUCCAACGUUAAUCGGGGCAGGGUGAGUCGACCCCUAAGGCGAGGCCGAAAGGCGUAGUCGAUGGGAAACAGGUUAAUAUUCCUGUACUUGGUGUUACUGCGAAGGGGGGACGGAGAAGGCUAUGUUGGCCGGGCGACGGUUGUCCCGGUUUAAGCGUGUAGGCUGGUUUUCCAGGCAAAUCCGGAAAAUCAAGGCUGAGGCGUGAUGACGAGGCACUACGGUGCUGAAGCAACAAAUGCCCUGCUUCCAGGAAAAGCCUCUAAGCAUCAGGUAACAUCAAAUCGUACCCCAAACCGACACAGGUGGUCAGGUAGAGAAUACCAAGGCGCUUGAGAGAACUCGGGUGAAGGAACUAGGCAAAAUGGUGCCGUAACUUCGGGAGAAGGCACGCUGAUAUGUAGGUGAAGUCCCUCGCGGAUGGAGCUGAAAUCAGUCGAAGAUACCAGCUGGCUGCAACUGUUUAUUAAAAACACAGCACUGUGCAAACACGAAAGUGGACGUAUACGGUGUGACGCCUGCCCGGUGCCGGAAGGUUAAUUGAUGGGGUUAGCGCAAGCGAAGCUCUUGAUCGAAGCCCCGGUAAACGGCGGCCGUAACUAUAACGGUCCUAAGGUAGCGAAAUUCCUUGUCGGGUAAGUUCCGACCUGCACGAAUGGCGUAAUGAUGGCCAGGCUGUCUCCACCCGAGACUCAGUGAAAUUGAACUCGCUGUGAAGAUGCAGUGUACCCGCGGCAAGACGGAAAGACCCCGUGAACCUUUACUAUAGCUUGACACUGAACAUUGAGCCUUGAUGUGUAGGAUAGGUGGGAGGCUUUGAAGUGUGGACGCCAGUCUGCAUGGAGCCGACCUUGAAAUACCACCCUUUAAUGUUUGAUGUUCUAACGUGGACCCGUAAUCCGGGUUGCGGACAGUGUCUGGUGGGUAGUUUGACUGGGGCGGUCUCCUCCUAAAGAGUAACGGAGGAGCACGAAGGUUGGCUAAUCCUGGUCGGACAUCAGGAGGUUAGUGCAAUGGCAUAAGCCAGCUUGACUGCGAGCGUGACGGCGCGAGCAGGUGCGAAAGCAGGUCAUAGUGAUCCGGUGGUUCUGAAUGGAAGGGCCAUCGCUCAACGGAUAAAAGGUACUCCGGGGAUAACAGGCUGAUACCGCCCAAGAGUUCAUAUCGACGGCGGUGUUUGGCACCUCGAUGUCGGCUCAUCACAUCCUGGGGCUGAAGUAGGUCCCAAGGGUAUGGCUGUUCGCCAUUUAAAGUGGUACGCGAGCUGGGUUUAGAACGUCGUGAGACAGUUCGGUCCCUAUCUGCCGUGGGCGCUGGAGAAUUGAGGGGGGCUGCUCCUAGUACGAGAGGACCGGAGUGGACGCAUCACUGGUGUUCGGGUUGUCAUGCCAAUGGCACUGCCCGGUAGCUAAAUGCGGAAGAGAUAAGUGCUGAAAGCAUCUAAGCACGAAACUUGCCCCGAGAUGAGUUCUCCCUGACUCCUUGAGAGUCCUGAAGGAACGUUGAAGACGACGACGUUGAUAGGCCGGGUGUGUAAGCGCAGCGAUGCGUUGAGCUAACCGGUACUAAUGAACCGUGAGGCUUAACCUUACAACGCCGAAG
Molecule: ribosomal RNA, 2927 nt
Filed under: Escherichia coli
Lineage: Bacteria; Pseudomonadati; Pseudomonadota; Gammaproteobacteria; Enterobacterales; Enterobacteriaceae
Description: bacterial LSU rRNA
Rfam family: Bacterial large subunit ribosomal RNA
Source: RNAcentral